CAUAUCUCUGGAAAUCAUUUACUAAGGUAUCAACUCCAGUAGUUAUGGAAGGUAUUGAAGUGAGAGAGGGCAUGAGAGAGGUUAACAGUGGGAUGAACUGGCCCAACAACUUGGCGUCGCACACCCAGCAGGAACGACGAGAUGAGAGGCUUUCUAGAGAGACAACGGAGGGCGGCGAGAUCGAGGUGGAAGGCCGAGGUGAAGGUGAUUGGUGUUGAGGGUGGAGGUCGAGACAGAGAGACGGAGGAGAGUCGUUAGUCAUGGUAAAGAGGAAGAGAACCAAAACAUUUUCACUAAUUUUCAAUUUCUGACGUUGCAUAACACGUGGCACAACAUUAACCAAUUCAUUCAAAAUUUAACGUCGUUUGUCUAAUAAUACUAAAAAUGAUAGUUUUACUAAGAAGAGGAUGAAAGUGGAGCAAAAUUUGAAAAAGGGACUAUACCCAAAAAUACUUGA
RNAcentral lists this long non-coding RNA (457 nucleotides) under Vigna radiata. RNAcentral describes it as "long non-coding RNA (VRAD_LNC003872)". The record is from RNAcentral. Lineage: Eukaryota; Viridiplantae; Streptophyta; Magnoliopsida; Fabales; Fabaceae.